AAAGUGGCUACGUAAGUUAUGGUUUUCAUUGCAGUCAAACUUGUGGUCAUUGUGCCAAGAUCUUCAGUAUUGCAAUAUUGAUGCACCAUCUCCACCAGAGAUUGAAUAUGUAAACGAAUGAUUUGUUAAAGUAUCUUUUCCAAUCCUAGAAGAAUACAGAAAAGUGAAAGAACAAUUUCGUUUUUAUAUUCAGGAUAAGGCUCAUAAGAUUCCUGAAUUUAAUUAUUGCCAUUUUGCUAAUUUACAAACAUUAGAUGCUAGUAAAAGUAAUUUGACAGCAGGAAUUUCUCCCAAAUUUAAAGGAGUUGUAGUCCUAGGAGCAGCCGUUUACAUAGAGGGAGAAUGGAAAAAUUUUACGA
Molecule: long non-coding RNA, 359 nt
Organism: Belonocnema kinseyi
Lineage: Eukaryota; Metazoa; Arthropoda; Insecta; Hymenoptera; Cynipidae
Exons: 3
Source: RefSeq, a predicted model, not a curated record